UGUUUUACGCCUACACAUGUAAAAUAAUCUCCUGCCCAGUGAAUAUUCAACGGCCGCGGUAUCCUAACCGUGCAAAGGUAGCAUAAUAAUUUGCCCAUUAAUUGUGGGCUAGAAUGAAAGGGGCUCCGAAAUAAGAUCUGUUUCAAUAAGACAUACUAAAAACUACUCUAAAAGUGAAGAAGCUUUUAUUUAAAUAAAAGACAAGAAGACCCUAUAGAGCUUCAUCUAUUAAAAUAUAUUAUUCCAAUAGAUUCGGUUGGGGCGACCCAGGAAAAUUCAUCCUUAAAAUUUAGAUUUAUAAAUCUUACUAUAGAUCCAAUUAUGAUCACAAAAUCAAGCUACCUUAGGGAUAACAGGCUAAUCCUACUAUAGAGUUCAUAUCGACAGUAGGGAUUGGCACCUCGAUGUUGGCUUAGAUUACCUUUUUGGCGCAGAUGUCAUCAAAGGGGGUUUGUUCAACCCAUUAUCAUCU
RNAcentral lists this ribosomal RNA (472 nucleotides) under Grania hinojosai. Its description in RNAcentral is "partial 16S ribosomal RNA". It matches the Rfam family "Bacterial large subunit ribosomal RNA", at positions 1802 to 2597 of the family's 2925-position model. The record is from RNAcentral. Lineage: Eukaryota; Metazoa; Annelida; Clitellata; Enchytraeida; Enchytraeidae.